Molecule: ribosomal RNA, 506 nt
Filed under: uncultured bacterium
Lineage: Bacteria
Description: partial 16S ribosomal RNA
Rfam family: Bacterial small subunit ribosomal RNA
Source: RNAcentral
AGUGAACGCUGGCGGUAGGCCUAACACAUGCAAGUCGAACGGCAGCACAGGAGAGCUUGCUCUCUGGGUGGCGAGUGGCGGACGGGUGAGGAAUACAUCGGAAUCUACUCUGUCGUGGGGGAUAACGUAGGGAAACUUACGCUAAUACCGCAUACGACCUACGGGUGAAAGCAGGGGAUCUUCGGACCUUGCGCGAUUGAAUGAGCCGAUGUCGGAUGAGCUAGUUGGCGGGGUAAAGGCCCACCAAGGCGACGAUCCGUAGCUGGUCUGAGAGGAUGAGCAGCCACACUGGAACUGAGAAACGGUCCAGACUACUACGGGAGGCAGCAGUGGGGAAUAUUGGACGAUGGGCGCAAGCCUGAUCCAGCCAUACCGCGUGGGUGAAGAAGGCCUUCGGGUUGUAAAGCCCUUUUGUUGGGAAAGAAAUCCAGCUGGCUAAUACCCGGUUGGGAUGACGGUACCCAAAGAAUAAGCACCGGCUAACUUCGUGCCAGCCGCCGCAGUAA